This 426-nucleotide ribosomal RNA is filed under the name uncultured bacterium. RNAcentral describes it as "partial 16S ribosomal RNA". It matches the Rfam family "Bacterial small subunit ribosomal RNA", at positions 354 to 796 of the family's 1533-position model. The record is from RNAcentral.
GUGAGGAAUUUUCCGCAAUGGGCGAAAGCCUGACGGAGCAAUGCCGCGUGAAGGAUGAAGGCCUAUGGGUUGUAAACUUCUUUUCUCAGAAAAGAAUUAUGACGGUAUCUGAGGAAUAAGCAUCGGCUAACCCUGUGCCAGCAGCCGCGGUAAGACAGAGGAUGCAAGCGUUAUCCGGAAUGAUUGGGCGUAAAGCGUCUGUAGGUUGUUUAAAAAGUAUUCUGUCAAAGAUUAGGGCUUAACCCUAGAUAGGCAGAAUAAACUUUUAAGCUAGAGUUUGGUAGAGGCAGAGGGAAUUCCCGGUGGAGCGGUGAAAUGCGUAGAUAUCGGGAGGAACACCAAAGGCGAAGGCACUCUGCUGGGCCAAUACUAACACUGAGAGACGAAAGCGAGGGGAGCAAAUGGGAUUAGAAACCCCGGUAGUCC